UACGGGAGGCAGCAGUGGGGAAUAUUGGACAAUGGGGGAAACCCUGAUCCAGCAAUGCCGCGUGUGUGAAGAAGGUCUUCGGAUUGUAAAGCACUUUCGACGGGGACGAUGAUGACGGUACCCGUAGAAGAAGCCCCGGCUAACUUCGUGCCAGCAGCCGCGGUAAUACGAAGGGGGCUAGCGUUGCUCGGAAUGACUGGGCGUAAAGGGCGCGUAGGCGGUUUGGACAGUCAGAUGUGAAAUUCCUGGGCUUAACCUGGGGGCUGCAUUUGAUACGUACAGACUAGAGUGUGAGAGAGGGUUGUGGAAUUCCCAGUGUAGAGGUGAAAUUCGUAGAUAUUGGGAAGAACACCGGUGGCGAAGGCGGCAACCUGGCUCAUAACUGACGCUGAGGCGCGAAAGCGUGGGGAGCAAACAGGAUUAGAUACCCUGGUAGUCCACGCUGUAAACGAUGUGUGCUGGAUGUUGGGUGGCUUAGCCCCUCAGUGUCGUAGUUAACGCGAUAAGCACACCGCCUGGGGAGUACGGCCGCAAGGUUGAAACUUAAAGGAAUUGACGG
RNAcentral lists this ribosomal RNA (559 nucleotides) under uncultured bacterium. RNAcentral describes it as "bacterial SSU rRNA". It matches the Rfam family "Bacterial small subunit ribosomal RNA", at positions 340 to 916 of the family's 1533-position model. The record is from RNAcentral.